CAGUCGCCGCGGUAAUACAGAGGGUGCGAGCGUUAAUCGGAUUUACUGGGCGUAAAGCGUGCGUAGGCGGCUUCUUAAGUCGGAUGUGAAAUCCCUGAGCUUAACUUAGGAAUUGCAUUCGAUACUGGGAAGCUAGAGUAUGGGAGAUGAUGGUAGAAUUCCAGGUGUAGCGGUGAAAUGCGUAGAGAUCUGGAGGAAUACCGAUGGCGAAGGCAGCCAUCUGGCCUAAUACUGACGCUGAGGUACGAAAGCAUGGGGAGCAAACAGGAUUAGAUACCCCCGUAGUCCCUGUCUCUUAUAC
Molecule: ribosomal RNA, 301 nt
Filed under: uncultured bacterium
Lineage: Bacteria
Description: partial 16S ribosomal RNA
Rfam family: Bacterial small subunit ribosomal RNA
Source: RNAcentral